CAACCCUCAAGCGCUGCUUGGUGUUGGGCCACGCCGCCCGCGGCCGGCCCCAAAGCCAGUGGCGGCGCCGCCGGGGCCCUGAGCGUAGUAGCAUACCCGCUCCAGGGCACGGCGGUCGCCAGCCUGAACCCCCUCGU
Molecule: unclassified non-coding RNA, 137 nt
Filed under: uncultured Oidiodendron
Lineage: Eukaryota; Fungi; Ascomycota; Leotiomycetes; Myxotrichaceae
Description: sequence contains ITS2
Source: RNAcentral